RNAcentral lists this ribosomal RNA (505 nucleotides) under uncultured bacterium. Its description in RNAcentral is "bacterial SSU rRNA". It matches the Rfam family "Bacterial small subunit ribosomal RNA", at positions 19 to 518 of the family's 1533-position model. The record is from RNAcentral.
AUGGCUCAGGAUGAACGCUGGCGGCGUGCAUAACACAUUCAAGUCGAACGAAGCACUGAGACGGAAGUCCGUUCGGGACGGAAGACUCUUGACUUAGUGGCGGACGGGUGAGUAACGCGUGAGCAACCUGCCUGUGAUAGAGGGAUAACACCCGGAAACGAGUGCUAAUACCACAUGAGGCGCAGAUAUCGCAUGGUGACUGCGUUAAAGAUUUAUCGAUCGCAGAUGGGCUCGCGUAUGAUUAGGCAGUUGGUGAGGCAACGGCUCACCAAACCGACGAUCAUUAGCCGAACUGAGAGGUUGAACGGCCACAUUGGAACUGAGAAACGGUCCAGACUCCUACGGGAGGCAGCAGUGGGGAAUAUUGGGCAAUGGGCGAAAGCCCUGACCCAGCGACGCCGCGUGAGGGAAGAAGGUCUUCGGAUUGUAAACCUCUUUCAGUAGGGAAGAAGAAAGUGACGGUACCUACAGAAGAAGUCACGGCUAACUACGUGCCAGCCGCAGC